UACGGGGGGGGCAAGCGUUGUUCGGAAUUACUGGGCGUAAAGGGCUCGUAGGCGGCCAACUAAGUCGGACGUGAAAUCCCCAGGCUCAACCUGGGAACUGCGUCCGAUACUGGAUGGCUUGAAUCCGGGAGAGGGAUGCAGAAUUCCAGGUGUAGCGGUGAAAUGCGUAGAUAUUAGGAAGAACACCGGUGGCGAAGGCGGCCCACUGGCCCAUUACUGACGCUGAGGCUCGAAAGCGUGGGGAGCAAACAGG
Molecule: ribosomal RNA, 253 nt
Filed under: uncultured bacterium
Lineage: Bacteria
Description: partial 16S ribosomal RNA
Rfam family: Bacterial small subunit ribosomal RNA
Source: RNAcentral